AUCAACGUAAAUAUUGAUGGUUCCGAACUUCGUUUUUUACUCGUCACUGAUUAUGAUAGAGAAAUUAUGUUACUUGUUUUAAGAGAUCUUCAGGGCAAUCUAGAACGAGACCGAGUCUGAGGUAGAUAAUGAAACAUUAGAGUUGUGGGAAUGUUGGUUUUUAGAUGUAGUGGAGUGAAAGCCUGGAAUAAAUAUGAACCAAACAUGUUUUCUAGAGUUGGACAAUUCUAUCACAUUACAUUAUAUAGCACUCGACUCACUAGUGCGAUGCACAUAUAUCUCAUACUUGCCACAUAUUUAUUUACUUUCACGUGGAUCGGAACUCAAGAAACAACUACUACAGAAAAUCUUAUCCAAGCAAAUCAAUGUGUGGUUGGAUGGUUAGAGGACAGUGGUAUCCCAUGUCCAUCAGAGUUUAAGUCUACGACUUGACAAUGGUGCUUGCAUUUUUCCGGAUUUAUUUCAUGUCUUUUGGCGAUAUGCGUUCAGUUUAAGGAGACAUUCUCGUCGACUAUGAAGGCGUCUGUGAUGAUUUCCUCAAUCUGAAGAUGAUGUGUCGGCUCAGUCUUUCAGAGGUGCUCAUAGGGAUAGGAUGUACGUGCGUGGGUUCAUAAGAUGAGUGCAUGCUCGUGUAUGUGAGCGACUUCGAUUGUACUCU
RNAcentral lists this long non-coding RNA (658 nucleotides) under Hordeum vulgare. RNAcentral's name for it is "long non-coding RNA (HVUL_LNC017929)". Lineage: Eukaryota; Viridiplantae; Streptophyta; Magnoliopsida; Poales; Poaceae. The record is from RNAcentral.